Molecule: ribosomal RNA, 253 nt
Filed under: uncultured bacterium
Lineage: Bacteria
Description: partial 16S ribosomal RNA
Rfam family: Bacterial small subunit ribosomal RNA
Source: RNAcentral
UACGUAGGUGGCGAGCGUUGUCCGGAUUUAUUGGGCGUAAAGCGCCCGCAGGCGGCUUGGUAAGUUUGGGGUGAAAUCUCCCGGCUCAACUGGGAGGGUGCCUCGAAAACUGUCAGGCUUGAGGCAUGGAGAGGGAUGCGGAAUUCCCGGUGUAGUGGUGAAAUGCGUAGAUAUCGGGAGGAACACCAGUGGCGAAGGCGGCAUCCUGGCCAUGUCCUGACGCUCAGGGGCGAAAGCGUGGGGAGCAAACCGG